GAACACAUGGUACGGGCCGGUUAUGUUUUUGUGCCUACACAGGGUGCGGGCCGGUCACCUAGUUUCUUUAUAUAUAUAGAUUUUGUAGAGAAGGUAAUUAAAAGGGUAAGAAAAACAAAAUUAUCUUUUCAACUAUUAAAUCUUGCUUUACCUUCAAUGGUCUUUUUUCUUCCACACUUUACCUUGAAUGGUUAAGUAGUACAGUAUUAUGUAAGUUCAAAUAUAAUGUCAGAAUCAUGUAACCUAUC
RNAcentral lists this long non-coding RNA (248 nucleotides) under Brassica rapa (field mustard). RNAcentral describes it as "long non-coding RNA (BRAP_LNC004171)". Lineage: Eukaryota; Viridiplantae; Streptophyta; Magnoliopsida; Brassicales; Brassicaceae. The record is from RNAcentral.